RNAcentral lists this unclassified non-coding RNA (60 nucleotides) under synthetic construct. RNAcentral describes it as "lambda-tR1 rut RNA from synthetic construct (PDB 8E6W, chain 8)". The record is from RNAcentral.
UAACCCCGCUCUUACACAUUCCAGCCCUGAAAAAGGGCAUCAAAUUAAACCACACCUAUG